GGGGGGGGGGGGGGGGGGGGGGGGGGGGGGGGGGGGGGGGGGGGGGGGGGCCGCUCUUCCGAUCUUGGCACACUGCGGUCACGUGGGGACUCAUUGGGGACAUUUGGGGACACACUGGGGUCACGUGGGGACAUUGGGAGGACACUGGGGUCCUGUUGGUGACACUGGGAACACACUGGGGACACUGGGGACGCAUUGGGGUCCUGCUGGGGACAUUUGGGGUCCUGCUGGGGAUACACGGGUGUCACGCGUGUGACACUUGGGGACACCGCGGUGACCCAGAGCGGGACAGGGCACCUCGGGGUGGCCCCGAUGUCCCCAAGGCGAGGCCACCGCGGUGUCCCCGAGGUGACAGCGCCACCCCCGUGUCCCCUCCCUGUCCCUGUCCCUGUCCCUGUCCCUGUCCCCGCCAGCGCCAACUGCGCCACCUCCAGUGGGGACACACUGGGGUCCUGCAGGGGACAUGGGGACACACUGGGGUGACGUCACAGCGCCACCCCCGUGUCCCCUCCCUGUCCCUGUCCCUGUCCCCGCCCCCCCUGCACCACCUGCAGGCACCGCGCCAGCUCCUCGUGUCCCUCCCCCGAUGUCCCCAAGGCCACCAGGAUGUCGCCGAGCGCUCGCGCGGUGGCGGGGAAUCCCUGUCGCCGCGUCCCCCACGGUGUCACCGCCGUGUCGCGCCGGACGGCGGCCACCAGUGUCCCCAAGUGCCGCGUCACCUCCUCCAGCCGCGCCAGGACAGCGGCGCUGGCCGCGCCGGUGGCAGAUCGGAAGAGCGGGGGGGGGGGGGGGGGGGGGGGGGGGGGGGGGGGGGGGGGGGGGGGGGGGGGGG
This 832-nucleotide long non-coding RNA is filed under the name Ficedula albicollis (Collared flycatcher). RNAcentral describes it as "lncRNA (ENSFALG00000025040.1)". Lineage: Eukaryota; Metazoa; Chordata; Aves; Passeriformes; Muscicapidae. The record is from RNAcentral.